RNAcentral lists this ribosomal RNA (372 nucleotides) under uncultured organism. Its description in RNAcentral is "partial 16S ribosomal RNA". It matches the Rfam family "Bacterial small subunit ribosomal RNA", at positions 527 to 896 of the family's 1533-position model. The record is from RNAcentral.
GUAGGUGGCAAGCGUUGUCCGGAAUUAUUGGGCGUAAAGCGCGCGCAGGCGGUUCUUUAAGUCUGAUGUGAAAGCCCACGGCUCAACCGUGGAGGGUCAUUGGAAACUGGAGAACUUGAGUACAGAAGAGGAAAGCGGAAUUCCACGUGUAGCGGUGAAAUGCGUAGAGAUGUGGAGGAACACCAGUGGCGAAGGCGGCUUUCUGGUCUGUAACUGACGCUGAGGCGCGAAAGCGUGGGGAGCAAACAGGGAUUAGAUACCCUGGUAGUCCACGCCGUAAACGAUGAGCGCUAAGUGUUAGGGGGUUUCCGCCCCCUUAGUGCUGCAGCUAACGCAUUAAGCACUCCGCCUGGGGAUACGGCCGCAAGGCUG